GGUGAGGUGGGUGAGUGGCUGAAACCACCAGUUUGCUAAACUGACGUACGGGUAACCGUACCGGGGGUUCGAAUCCCCCCCUCACCG
Molecule: transfer RNA, 87 nt
Filed under: Bacteroidales bacterium
Lineage: Bacteria; Pseudomonadati; Bacteroidota; Bacteroidia; Bacteroidales
Also listed under: 3 other names
Description: tRNA-Ser
Rfam family: tRNA
About the family: Transfer RNA (tRNA) molecules are approximately 80 nucleotides in length. Their secondary structure includes four short double-helical elements and three loops (D, anti-codon, and T loops).
Source: RNAcentral